Long non-coding RNA from Vidua macroura (Pin-tailed whydah), 3084 nucleotides. RefSeq lists it as uncharacterized. The transcript has 4 exons. The record is from RefSeq and is a predicted model, not a curated record. NCBI's taxonomy places the organism in Eukaryota, Metazoa, Chordata, Aves, Passeriformes, Viduidae.
GCUCUGUGUCCCGUGGGCUCGUGGCUCUGAAGGAAAUGCCACUGAAAAAGGGAGUAAAACUUCAGAAUUCAAUUCCAAAACUGGAAAUUUGCCUUUGGAAAUCCCGGACAUCCAAUCCCACGGCUCUGUGAGCCCACGGGAGCCCUCGGCACACCCAGCUCAGGUGGUGCUGGAUCAGUGACUCUUCCCCCUGUCCCAGGCUGCUCCAAGCCUCAUCCAGCCCGGCCUUGGGCACCUCCAGGGAUCCAGGGGCAGGAUAAGCUCCAUCACUUGCAGCCUUUUCCCAGCUCUUUCCUCUCUCUGAGCCCCGUUUCUGCCUCUUGCCAAACAGGUUUGAAUUUCCAGACCGUGGCUAUGAAAACGCAGCUCAACCCCCUCCUGCACAGCGCUAAAAUAUGGCUUUUUCCCCUUUUUAAUAUCCCCUAAACGAUGACCUUUUCCCUCCUUCAGCAGGCAGCCAACACAAGCACAACAAUGUGAUUUGUGCAGCAUUUCAGCUGUGGUUUCUUCAAGAAAUUCAUCUGCUCUCGAAGCAAUUACGGGCAGGGAAGCAUUUCCACUCCGGCUUCGGGCCCUGAAAAGCUGCCAGGAGGGAUUUUUUUUCCUUCCCCUCCUCUCUCCCUCUUGCUCCCUCAGCCCCCCUUGUCCUAAAAAAAACUUCUGUGGUUUCAUUGCAGCAGCAAUUCUGGGAUGGUUAAAUCCCAGCCUGGUGCAGGUGGGAAGGGGCUGGAUCCGUGUCCCUGUCCCUGCUGGAGUGGGACCGGGUUUGUGCAGGAUCAUCCCCCCUGAGCAGCACCAGCUCCUGGAGGGGACACCGGGCACGGUGCCACCCCCUCCUCGUGCCUGCUGUGCCCUUCAGGACCUUCCCCACAGCACAUGGGGCCCAGAGGGCAGAGGGAACCCGCAGGACACGGCUCCAUCCCGCUGGGCGACUCUGCCAGCACCCAGGGCUUGGGACAACGGGCCUUAAAUGAGCCCCGAAGUCAACAGCACGGUUAAUUGCUCAUUCAUUCCUCGGAUGGGUUAAUAAUUAAGUUAAAUUAAUAAUUGGGAGAAUAAUUAAACAAAACAAUAACCCAUACCCGGCACGAUUGAAGCGCUCGCUGUUCGUGCCGGGGUUUUGGGGUUACUCAUUCACUUUAGGGCCGCUGUGGCGUCGGGCUGGCUGUGCCAGGGAUGCGGCUCCAAGAAUCCCGUGGAAAACCGGACUUUUCCAGGCAAAACCAUCGGCUCUUCCCUCCCCUGGAGAGCGGCGGGGUCCCGGUGAGGAGCGGAGCUUCCCCGACCCCCGGCUCCUCCCGAACCGCCCGCGCCCUCCCCUCCCCGCGGAGGGACGGACGGACGGACGGACAGAGGGUGAGAGGGACGGACAGAAGGGCGGAGGGAGGCGGCUCUAGGCCGGGGGGGAGGAACUACAAGUCCCGUGAAGCCGCACCGCCCGCCCGCCGCCGCGGGGCUAUAAAAGGGGGAAUGGCCCGGCAGCCGCAGUCGGAGCAUCCCUGGCUGCGGCGGAGCCGCUCCCGCUGCCCAUCCCGGCGCUCCCGGGGCUAUUCCCGGUGGGAGCGGGCCGAUAUCCGGACCCCCGGAGCGGGCUGGGGCUCUGCAGAAGGAGGAUGAGGAGGAUGCCGCUCGGCGCGCCGGGGGAGCCGCAGCCCCGGGCGGCUUCGGGCGCUGCCGGCGGAGGCGGAGGUUUCGGCAUUCCUGCAGGGACAGCUCCCAUCGGCCCCGGGAGCUGCUGGAACCUCCUUGUGCCGGCGGUGGGGACGCCAGGACAGGAGUGGCACUUGUCCCCUCGGCCAGGGAAAGGCUCCCGAGGCGGGAUUUGGCCCUGGAUGGUUCCUCUGCGCUGGGAUCCCGAGCCCCGAGCCUCGCCUGGGGUUUGGAUGCUCCCUUCUGUCUGCAGCUGGGAAUGGCACGGCCGUGCCUCCUGCUCCUCCCAAAUCCCGUGGAUUUACUGCUUUUGGCAUCGUCCUGCUGGGACUGGCUCCGGCACAGGGAAUCUCCCGAGGGACAAAUGGGAAAAGCAGCACUUAUCACAGCCUGAGGCUACAAUUCCCUCUUUUUCUGGGCUACUCUGAGCAUGCUGGCUCUGCAGGAAGAAGGAUUCCAUGCACUCCUGGAGGACAAAUCCUGCUGCUCUGAUGCCUCACCAUCGAUUCCGUGCCUCAAGCCCUGCCCUGCUCGAUGCUCCUGGAGGGUUUUUGGUGCCACUCUCCAGAUUCAGGCACCCAAAAAGGGACAAAGAGCCCCAAAUCCACUCCCCUCUGAGCACCAAAUUCCAGAGUCCGUGCUGAAGGCUCGGAGUGAGGGACAGAGGGACAGCCAGGACAGCCAGGAGCAGCUCCCGGGGACAGGACGGACACUGCAGCUGGAGCUCAGGGCCACCAGGGCCACCAGGGCCACCAGGGACCAGCAGGGACCAGCAGCUCCCCUGGGCAGCGAUGGAACGUCAGGGCUGGGAGAGGCUCUGCCCCGAGCUCCAAACACAAAUCCAGCUCCACACCCCCCAGCCUGGCUGGGCUGCACAUCCCUGCAGGAGCUGAGCUGCUCCCACCUGGAACUGACAGGACAAAUGAGCAACUUUCUGCUGGGCUUUGGGAAUUACCCUUUUGGAUCCUGCCAAUGGAUGGAUGGAUGGAUGGAGAAGAGCUCUUGGGUCGAGCAGGAGCUCAGUGCUGUUCUCUGCCAAGGACCAAGCGCUUCCCCGGUUUCCAGUGGAUUUUUUUUCUGGUGUUUAUUUUUACCCCUCUGCUCUUUUUUUUUGCUGCUUUUUGGGGCUUUGGGUGUUUCCUGAGGAUGCUGGAGCUGCAGUGGAUCCCGUGGUGGGAGCUGGAGCCUUUGAAGAGCAGGAGCUGAGCUGGUGCUGGGCUUUCAGAGUGGCAGAGGCUCAUCCUGUGCUGGGUGGCCUCAGGAGGCUCCUUCUGCCCCAGCUGGAGCAUCCCAGUGCAUCCCAGUCCAGGUGGGACCGCGGAGCAGGAGCAGGAAUGGGAGGGAAACCCAACCCCAGCGAGGGGAAUGUCACAGUGAGGGGAAUGUCACCCUCAGAGACAAUUAAAUUGCAUUUAAUAAACCAACCCCACUGGC